UUGAUACCCCUGUGCCACACCAUUGGCCAUGGAGCUAAUGACGGUGUUGUACACUGUGUGAGUCAUCACCUUGGACUAAUCAAUCAUAGCCUGAUAAACAGACUGUUGGAUCAUCUCGGACAUCCUCCCCGAGUCUUCGGCGAUGGUGAUCUGGUGAGGAAUUGGAAGAGCGCUCUUUUUGAUAGGCUCCCCACUUCUGGUACGACUGUAGGAUUGCAGGCAUGCCUUCUUGAAGUCUUCC
Molecule: long non-coding RNA, 241 nt
Filed under: Setaria italica (foxtail millet)
Lineage: Eukaryota; Viridiplantae; Streptophyta; Magnoliopsida; Poales; Poaceae
Description: long non-coding RNA (SITA_LNC001219)
Source: RNAcentral